RNAcentral lists this ribosomal RNA (497 nucleotides) under uncultured bacterium. RNAcentral describes it as "partial 16S ribosomal RNA". It matches the Rfam family "Bacterial small subunit ribosomal RNA", at positions 28 to 507 of the family's 1533-position model. The record is from RNAcentral.
GAUGAACGCUGGCGGCGUGCCUAAUACAUGCAAGUCGAGCGAACGGACGAGAAGCUUGCUUCUCUGAUGUUAGCGGCGGACGGGUGAGUAACACGUGGAUAACCUACCUAUAAGACUGGGAUAACUUCGGGAAACCGGAGCUAAUACCGGAUAAUAUUUUGAACCGCAUGGUUCAAAAGUGAAAGACGGUCUUGCUGUCACUUAUAGAUGGAUCCGCGCUGCAUUAGCUAGUUGGUAAGGUAACGGCCUACCAAGGCAACGAUGCGUAGCCGAACUGAGAGGGUGAUCGGCCACACUGGAACUGAGACACGGUCCAUACUCCUACGGGAGGCAGCAGUAGGGAAUCUUCCGCAAUGGGCGAAAGCCUGACGGAGCAACGCCGCGUGAGUGAUGAAGGUCUUCGGAGCGUAAAACUCUGUUAUUAGGGAAGAACAUAUGUGUAAGGAACUGUGCACAUCUUGACGGUACCUAAUCAGAAAGCCACGGCUAACUACGUG